CCCCCGUCUUUGUGUGGGGGGUGCUAGAACCCCCCCCCUCCCCGCCCAGGGCACUGACUCUCCUCCUGAGAAGGGGGAGGUGCAAGCUCCCUUCAGCAGGGUGGGGGUCCCAGGGCCACCCCUUUCUUCAUGGCAAGGGGUCCCCUCCCCUGUGCAGCCCCCCCAGGGCUGUGAGCGGGAGACCCAGCUCCCGCCGGGGGUGCAAAGCGCCCAGACUCCCCGAUCCCUCCAGCCCGCAGAUGGAUCCGCCCUCCCCAAGAAACCCCUUCCCCCAACUGCCGGAAACCAAGCCGCGCUCCCUGCCUUUCCCAGCACUGUCGCAACCCCCCUGCUCCCUUCCACGUGGGCAUCGCGCUGCCGUAAAGGCGGAGAGUGAGCGGCGCUCGCCAGAGUAGGGGGAGGCGGGGUCUAGAUUUGCAUAAAUUAGCAUGCGUAAAGAGACGGCGGCUCAGGCUCCGAUCCUGCCCCUCCACGGGGGCCCAGAUGGGAAAUAAGGGCCAGCUGGAGCGGGGCCCGCAGAGAACAAAGAUGGAAUACAGAGCUGCUACAGGAAGAGCUGGGAUAGCGGCACAGAUGUUAUGUCCCUGCAAUUUAUCCAUCAGCCACUAAACUCUGAUUAUACUAGCCUGAGAGAAAGGGCCCAAAAAACACUUAAGGACUCAAAGCUAGAGAAGCAUGUGUCAGGCUUUAAUUGCAUGGCUCAAGGAAACAGUUCUUCCUGAGAAAUAAUACAAUUUUGUUUGAUCAAAACAUAACACUCACUGGGUGGCUGGCAGAUGAGAUGUCCCUUUACACUUCCAUUCUUCUCAUGCUAUGGCUAUAUUUGUGUAUGUCUGUAUGAGCAGAUGACCUACGCAAGCUCAUGAAUUGCAAGACUUAAACAUCCUUUGGUGGGGCUGGAAAUAAGUAGUUGUGCUUAAACACUGUUUUCUUCCUGAUCCUUAGUGGUAUUCACCUUGUGGUCUGAAGAAUGAGGAUUAAUAACCCAUGCAUUUUUGUCCAUCCCACUGUCACUGCAGCUUAAGAACAUAAGAGCGGCCAGACCAAAGGUCUAUCUAGCCUAGUGUCUUGUCUUCUGACAGUGGCCAAUGCCAGGUGCCCCAGAAGGAAUGAACAGAAUAGGUAAUCAUCAAGUAAUCCAUCCCCUGUUGCCCAUUCCCAGCUUUUGGCAAACAGAGGCUAGGGACAUCAUCCCUGCCCAUCUUGGCUAGUAGCCAUUGAUGGACCUAUCCUCCAUGAACUUAUCUAGUUCUUUUUUGAACCCUGUUAUAUAGUCUUGGCCUUCACAACAUCCUCUGGCAAAGAGUUCCACAGGUUGACUGUGUGUUGUGUGAAGAAAGACUUCUUUUGUUUGUUUAAAACCCGCUACCUAUUCA
Gopherus flavomarginatus (Mexican gopher tortoise) is the source of this 1376-nucleotide long non-coding RNA. RefSeq lists it as uncharacterized. Lineage: Eukaryota; Metazoa; Chordata; Testudines; Testudinidae. The transcript is spliced from 2 exons. The record is from RefSeq and is a predicted model, not a curated record.